Phacochoerus africanus (Common warthog) is the source of this 1008-nucleotide long non-coding RNA. RefSeq lists it as uncharacterized. The transcript has 2 exons. The record is from RefSeq and is a predicted model, not a curated record. NCBI's taxonomy places the organism in Eukaryota, Metazoa, Chordata, Mammalia, Artiodactyla, Suidae.
GGUUCACCACUUCCUCAUAAGGAGGUAGUAAAUAGUUUGGCAAAAACCCUAAAAUGGGGAGGUAGGGAGGAAAGAUUACUGCAUGGGCAAUGGUUCCAGAACAGACUGCAGGCUCACGCUAGACAGAUGUCUCGUCCCACCCCCAGCGUACCCACUAAGCGACAGCGAUGGCUCUUGGCUGCAGGCGGGGCAUGGGGCUCUGAGUGACUUUGCAAAGAGGGACAGGUUGGAAGUGACCCAUUCUAGUUUCUUGAAAUCUGAGAGCCGCUGAAGCGGCUUUGCAGGCAAGGACUUCUGCCUGUCUGGGGUUAAGGCAGAAGGUUAGGCAAAUAUGGUAAAUGGCCAAGAGAUUUCUGCCUGGAAGCAACCUGUUUCCACAUGCACAUAGUUCUCAUGUUUAUUGCUCAGACUGUGUCCUCAACCUGUGUCCUCAGGGUCAGGGACCCCAACUUAAGACUUUUCUUGACCACUUCCCGACUGCCCCUCCUCCGCCCUGGCACGUGCCAGACGUACACCAUGAAGAGGGCCUUCUAGGAGGUGAGAAAUCUGUGUUGUCUCUCACCCUAGUGUGGCUGGAGGUGGUCUGGAAAGACAAACCAAACCUCACCCUGAUUCAGAUCACGAGCGGGUGGCUUACCCGGUGGUAAGGGCGAGGGGCCUGCCAUCGAGGCUUGUUAAGAACAUGCCACGUGAGUUAUCUUUUGCUUGGAGGCAGGAAUGAUCGAAUUAUUAUAUAACAAUAAUUGCUAGCUUUUAUUGAGUACUUACUCUAUGCCAGAUGCACUUAACCCUCCUAGAGGUGGAAUUCCAAAUUUAUAACCACUUUAUUCUACAGAACGCACUGCAGAAUGGCUCUGGACAGGCUGCACUGCUGGGCCUCCACCAACCAUUUGAGAGGUCAGUGUAAGGAACCCCAGGAAAUCAGCCACACCAACGGCAUAAGGAAGUUCCUGCGGCAAAGGAACCUUAACCCAAGAGCGCCUCCACAGAGACAGGCCAGAUCAUUAA